GACGAACGCUGGCGGCGUGCUUAACACAUGCAAGUCGAACGGAAAGGCCCCUUUGGGGGUGCUCGAGUGGCGAACGGGUGAGUAACACGUGAGUAACCUGCCCUUGACUUCGGGAUAACUUCAGGAAACUGGGGCUAAUACCGGAUAGGAAUCAUUGCUGCAUGGAGGGGGUUGGAAAGAUUCGGCGGGUUUGGAUGGACUCGCGGCUUAUCAGUCUGUUGGUGGGGUAGUGGCUUACCAAGGAUUUGACGGGUAGCCGGCCUGAGAGGGCGACCGGCCACAAUGGGACUGAGAUACGGCCCAGACGUCUACGGGAGGCAGCAGUGGGGAAUAUUUCACAAUGGGCGGAAGCCUGAUGCAGCAACGCCCCGGGCGGGAUGACGGCCUUCGGGUUGUAAACCGCUUUCAGCAGGGGCGGAGCUUGUAGUGACGGUACCUGCAGAAGAAGCACCGGCUAACUACGUG
Molecule: ribosomal RNA, 465 nt
Filed under: uncultured bacterium
Lineage: Bacteria
Description: partial 16S ribosomal RNA
Rfam family: Bacterial small subunit ribosomal RNA
Source: RNAcentral